Molecule: long non-coding RNA, 262 nt
Organism: Xiphophorus hellerii (green swordtail)
Lineage: Eukaryota; Metazoa; Chordata; Actinopteri; Cyprinodontiformes; Poeciliidae
Exons: 3
Source: RefSeq, a predicted model, not a curated record
GCAUAUUUUCCUCCUUCACUUUAUCUUCUCUCUUUAUUUCAUUUCUCUGUGAACUCAUGUGAUGACUGGAGUUGACCAACAAUUAAAGCAGAAGACCUGCUCCACCUGCUGAUCUACUGGUUGUAACAGCUUGUGGGAAAGCAUCACUGGACCAAUCAGGCGAGAGAAGACAGAGAGGACUGAGGACUGAAACGAAAAUACUCUGCCUGCCAAAAAAGGUUUGAGGCAGACCGACCGCUGGGGAGAUGGACCUCACCUGACA